CUCUAGCUUAUAAAAAUAAGCUUUCGUUUCGGGAGGUGUUACCUUGUCGUAGGAAUUAAACAAGGAUCUCUGAUACAAUACACGAAGUAUUCUUUUUAGUGUACAGAAAUGAUCAUCUACUCAUCUCUUCAGUAUAAUUACAGGAUGCUAAUCUAUUUUUAGAAGCAUACAAUCACUGUAAAUUUAUAUAUGUAUAUCUCUGCCUAUGUGUAGUGACAACUGCAAAUUAUACCUUGUCCAUCGGAUUUCUUAUGAUUAAGAAAUACCAGGCGUUAGAAUAUGUAUAAAGUGCCUAGAAAAUCAACCUAACGAUGUUAGAGUAGAUUUGAUUCGUAACUUCCUCCCCGGCGCCGGGGCUGGAACCUGUACUUUUUAUUUCUAACUUCUACGACAACACCGCCUAGCAUUGCGCAGAGACCUUAUCCCCUCCUCUAACUCUAGCUUAUAAAAAUAAGCUUUCGUUUCGGGAGGUGUUACCUUGUCGUAGGAAUUAAACAAGGAUCUCUGAUACAAUACACGAAGUAUUCUUUUUAGUGUACAGAAAUGAUCAUCUACUCAUCUCUUCAGUAUAAUUACAGGAUGCUAAUCUAUUUUUAGAAGCAUACAAUCACUGUAAAUUUAUAUAUGUAUAUCUCUGCC
RNAcentral lists this long non-coding RNA (639 nucleotides) under Mytilus galloprovincialis (Mediterranean mussel). Lineage: Eukaryota; Metazoa; Mollusca; Bivalvia; Mytilida; Mytilidae. The record is from RNAcentral.